RNAcentral lists this unclassified non-coding RNA (286 nucleotides) under uncultured Chaetothyriales. RNAcentral's name for it is "sequence contains 5.8S rRNA gene". The stretch from base 1 to 53 matches the Rfam family "5.8S ribosomal RNA", at positions 102 to 154 of the family's 154-position model. Lineage: Eukaryota; Fungi; Ascomycota; Eurotiomycetes; Chaetothyriales. The record is from RNAcentral.
GAACGCAUCUUGCGCUCCUUGGUAUUCCGAGGAGCAUGCCUGUUUGAGUGUCAUUAUCACCCCUCAAGCCCUCGGCUUGGUGUUGGACGGUUUGGUGGAGGCCCCCUCGGGGGCUCCUGCCCCUCCCAAAGACAAUGACGGCGGCCUCGUUGGACCCCCGGUACACUGAGUUCUUCACGGGACACGUAUCGGACACAUGGGUUUACGGGACACGGUCUGCCUCCCCUCAGGGAGAAUCUUUCUAAGGUUGACCUCGGAUCAGGUAGGGAUACCCGCUGAACUUAAG